AUACGGAGGAUGCGAGCGUUAUCCGGAUUUAUUGGGUUUAAAGGGUGCGUAGGCGGUCGGGUAAGCGUAGGGUGAAAGUCCUCUGCUCAACAGAGGAAGUGCCUUCCGAACUGUCCGACUGGAAUGCUCCUGCCGUGGGAGGAAUGUGUGGUGUGGCGGUUGAAGGCAUAGAGAUCACACAGAACACCGAUUGCGAAGGCAUCUCACGAAGGGGCUAUUGACGCUGAGGCACGAAAGCGUGGGGAUCAAACAGGAUUAGAUACCCUGGUAGUCCACGCAGUAAACGAUGAUGACUAACCGUCGGUCAAGACUGAUCGGUGGCCAAGCGAAAGCGAUAAGUCAUCCACCUGGGGAGUACGACCGCAAGGUUGAAACUCAAAGGAAUUGACGGGG
Molecule: ribosomal RNA, 393 nt
Filed under: uncultured bacterium
Lineage: Bacteria
Description: partial 16S ribosomal RNA
Rfam family: Bacterial small subunit ribosomal RNA
Source: RNAcentral